Molecule: ribosomal RNA, 253 nt
Filed under: uncultured bacterium
Lineage: Bacteria
Description: partial 16S ribosomal RNA
Rfam family: Bacterial small subunit ribosomal RNA
Source: RNAcentral
UACGUAGGGUGCGAGCGUUAAUCGGAAUUACUGGGCGUAAAGUGUGCGCAGGCGGCAGAGCAAGUCGAGUGUGAAAGCCCCGGGCUUAACUUGGGAAUUGCGCUCGAAACUACUUUGCUGGAGUGUGGCAGAGGAAACUAGAAUUCCUGGUGUAGCAGUGAAAUGCGUAGAUAUCAGGAGGAAUACCGAUGGCGAAGGCAGGUCUCUGGGCCAAUACUGACGCUCAUGCACGAAAGCGUGGGGAGCAAACAGG